UUUUUUUUUUUUUUUUUUUUUUUUGCCAGGAUUAACAUCACAUAAGUGAUUUAUGCAGCUUGGUUAGAUUUUGGACUUAUUCUAUCAUGAAAAGAUAUCUAUUUUGCAUUGCUUUGUGAGUUUUACUAUGUGAGAUAUUUGUAAGGCCAUUACACUUCAAAGAAUCAUUUACAUCCUCUACUGACCACCAUGAUCAGUGUGCAGGGAUUAUGCAAUUGCUCAAGAUUCCCAAAAGCAACUUUAAGAAUGACUCCAACUAAAGACUGGAACUCAUCUACCAUCAUAUUUUAGAAUCCAAAAUGCAGUAAAUAUCCUCCAGAAGUUUUAAAUUACAUCUGAGGUUUGCUCCUGUGCAUGGCAUUGUGAUAAAGGCUCAUAGACACCUUACUGAUUAGCUCUGCAGCUGUGAGGUGACAAAGGAUGCCACUCCUUUCAUAAUACUCAGACUCUUCAGGACAUCAUGUCAUGCAUCAAAUUAAAAAAAGGACCUUUUAUUUCCUAUUCAUUUGAGCAGUAAGUAUUCACCCAGCAUUUCCUCUGCAAACUAAAGGUGAGCAGUAUACUAAAGCAUGUACGACAAAGAAUGGAAUUCUUUCUAAUUAUUAGAAAUGGAAUUUAAUAAAAAAAGUAUUAAACUCAUUGUACCCUGUCCAAUGAAAACAGAAACAUCAUAUUAAUAUGAGAAAAAGAUCAUACAGUAUGGAAUAUGGAAAAUGUUUGAACUAUAAUUACUUUGGUUUGCCAUUAUUCCUUACAACAGCUUUGAGAGCAUAGCUGUCGUUACAGGACUCUGACACUAAGUGAAAAAGCUCAAUCAAAACACCACAACAAACCACUGGAUUGCAGGUUUGAUAAUGUUCAAGGCAGAUCUGUCAUUUCAUCUACUCUUGGAUUUGGGCAGAUGGUAGGGUCAGGCACAGUACACUUCUACAGAAGCACUGGGAGCCCUGAAUUCAAAUUUGGGUCUAGCGUUGGUACUGCUAACUCCACAGAAAAGAUGGUUACUGUGUACAGGAAUUUCUGGAGUAAAAAAAAGACAACAAAACAACAAAACCCACGAAGAGCUUACUAAAAACCAUCAUAUGGUUUGCACAGAAAAAAUACAGAUUGAAAGCAGUGCAGACAUGUCACGGUCCCUGAAUGGAAGCAGAGUCAUCUAGUACCCUCAUAGGUAUACCUACAAUUUAGGAAGUACUGCUAUCACUGUAUAUGAGAUUAGGCAGUCUCAAAAGUAAAAACCACCACCAAAGACACAAAAGAACUAAAAAACCAAUCACUCCCCUCACUGAGAGCCAAACAAGACUCGUGGACACAUCACUGAACUACUGGCAGAUAGACACAAAUGAGCAUUUUCUUUCCCCUAUUGCCCACACUAUUUAUUUCAAAUUUCACUUCUCUGUUAAAUCCUGCAUUCAACUGCUGUGAGUUUUACAGACCUCCAGACAUGGAGAUAUUUGACAGAACAUGGGUAGAUGGAUUUCAGGAGCCUGUUUUCAGUAUCAGUAUGGAAUGUAGGUAUCUGAGCAGACCAUAUUAAACUACAAAGGAAAAAUGGGCAUUACAGUUUUGAAAUAAAAUCCUAAGUAUCUAGUUAGCCUAUCGAAGUCUUGAGUAAUAUUAAAUGCAUUUUGAGAGAGCUUAGACAGAAGUAAAAAUUUCCAUAAAACUGCUAUACAAGCUAAAGAAUAGAGUAUUAAGAUUCUAAAAGUGCAUAUUAAACCGGCCCCAACAUUAUCUCUGCAGCAAAGCAAGGAGGGUAAAACUAAAAAAAUCACUACAAUUUGUUGUUCAUCUGAGGAAGCUGUAUUAACAGAAACCCUAAUAGCAGGUGCAAGUUGCAAUAUGGUUUCCAUUCCACACUUGGAGUUUAUGCUAUCACUGGGGACUCAGCAAAUGGACUGAAGGAAUUGUGCAGCCAUACUCCUCUUCAGCUGUUACACACUAUCACACUUGUUAAAAUUAUCUGGAACACAGCAAUUGCUUGAUAAGUAAAUCAGAGCACAGCACAAAUACAAUGUUCUCUAUGAAAAAUCUCUCAUUAUGAAGAAAGCUGGAAAAAUGCAAAUAUAUUUGCUCUAUAAAGGUAACAAGCAGCAUGCAGAAAACUAAAUGCUAUUUCUGAUGUGACAUUUUGUAAUGAAAUGAUUCUGUAAGAUUAUCUGUACAGCAAAAGGUUUGUGUGUCCUAGUUACUAAGUGUAGAUAGCAUUCAUUUCUGUAGCUGUCAAAAUCCUUUCAUAGUAUUUUAAUUUGAAAAAGAACCUGACUUCACUGUGGAUAUGUUAUGAUAAAGCCUAAAAAGAAUUUAUCUGAUCAAAGAAGAAUGUAUUACCACCAAACAGAGAUUUGCUUCAAAUCUUGCAUAACAGCAAAAAUAAAUACAAUCCACUUUUGUACAAAAACAGAUAAUGGGAACAUAAGGGAAAAAAUUGAAUUUUCUUUAAUAGGAUUAUAUUUCAGAAAUGAAGAGAAAAAUGUUUAGCCAUAAAUAAGUUUUAUAAAAAAACCACCUAAGAUGCUAAUGUCUCCCUAGUAACAUCUGCUUGUCAAAGUCCUAUGCAAUCAAGUCAGCAACUAAAGACUGACAAUCUCCUGCUGUAGCAUAUUU
RNAcentral lists this long non-coding RNA (2607 nucleotides) under Taeniopygia guttata (zebra finch). RNAcentral's name for it is "lncRNA (ENSTGUG00000023651.1)". The record is from RNAcentral. Lineage: Eukaryota; Metazoa; Chordata; Aves; Passeriformes; Estrildidae.